This 253-nucleotide ribosomal RNA is filed under the name uncultured bacterium. Its description in RNAcentral is "partial 16S ribosomal RNA". It matches the Rfam family "Bacterial small subunit ribosomal RNA", at positions 524 to 776 of the family's 1533-position model. The record is from RNAcentral.
UACAGAGGUGGCAAGCGUUGUUCGGAAUUACUGGGCGUAAAGGGCGCGUAGGCGGCCUUCUAAGUCAGACGUGAAAUCCCCCGGCUUAACCUGGGAACUGCGUCUGAUACUGGAGGGCUUGAGUGCGGUAGAGGGAAGUGGAAUUUCCGGUGUAGCGGUGAAAUGCGUAGAUAUCGGAAGGAACAUCAGUGGCGAAAGCGACUUCCUGGACCAGUACCGACGUUCAGGCACGAAAGCGUGGGGAGCAAACAGG